CUACUUGGGUUGAUUUAAAGUGA
RNAcentral lists this non-coding RNA (23 nucleotides) under Arabidopsis thaliana (thale cress). Lineage: Eukaryota; Viridiplantae; Streptophyta; Magnoliopsida; Brassicales; Brassicaceae. The record is from RNAcentral.